UGGAUGAUGUGGUUUAAUUCAACGGCAAUCGAAGAACCUUACCAGGGUUUGAAAUGUAUCUGCAUGCCCUAUGAAAAUAGGGAGGCCUUCGAGGGUGAUACACAGGUGCUGCAUGGCCGCCGUCAGCUCGUGUCGUGAGAUGUAGGGUUAAGUCCCGAAACGAGCGCAACCCCUAUUCUAUGUUACAAGUGUCUUAGAAAACCGCCUCGGUAAAACGAGGAGGAAGGUGGGGAUGACGUCUGGUCCGCAUAGCCCUUAUGUCCUGGGCUACACACGCGCUACAAUGGCCGAUACAGUAGGAAGCCAAAUCGUAGGAUGGAGCUAAUCCUUAAAGUCGGUCUCAGUUCGGAUUGAGGUCUGAAAUUCGACCUCAUGAAGUUGGAUUUGCUAGUAAUCGUAGAUCAGCAAUGCUACGGUGAAUACGUUCUCGGGUCUU
This 436-nucleotide ribosomal RNA is filed under the name uncultured Thermovirga sp. RNAcentral's name for it is "bacterial SSU rRNA". It matches the Rfam family "Bacterial small subunit ribosomal RNA", at positions 933 to 1382 of the family's 1533-position model. Lineage: Bacteria; Thermotogati; Synergistota; Synergistia; Synergistales; Thermovirgaceae. The record is from RNAcentral.